UGUUUGUUUAUAGAGGUUUUCUAUUAUUAGUUUUGUAUUUACUUUUUUAUUGCAUUUAGUACAUUUCAAAGUAACGAAAGGGAUUUAUGAUGAAGGAUUUCAUUUCACUGUUCAAUGCUAACAGUACUUACUGAGCACAGACCUUAUAAUUUUAUCAAUUUGCUUAAUUUGAGUUUUUACCUGUAAAAAAAUUAUUUUUUAAUUAUUAUUAUUUUUUUAUUAAAUACUUAUAGUUUUUGUCAAUAAUUAAUAAGAACUACCUUAAAUAUAUAACAUUACAUAGUUAAAAAAAUUAUAUUAAUUUAUUUAUAACUUUAGUUUAAGUUCCUGAUAGAAAUAUGUUAUCUUUACACAUUGCUCAAUUAUUUUAAAACAUCUAAUUUGAAUAUGACUAAUUAUAGAGUAGAAUAUAGUUUGAUGAUUAUAUUAUGCUCUGUUUUAUUUUCUUAAACUGUAUUUUAGAUUUUUUUACACUGUAUUUUAGAUUUUUUACACUGUAUUUUAGAUUUUUUUACAUUUUAGAUAAUUUUACAUUUUAGAUUUGCUUACACUGUAUUUUAGAUAAAAGUUUAAAAAAGAAAACUCAAAGUUCAAUCUAAAAAUUAAAUUUCAACUUUUAUUAUUUUAGGUAUCAUUUUUACACACUCCUUUGAUGCUUAAUUAUGUGUGAUAAUUUAAGAAGUAUAAUUAUUAGACUUCCUUAAAAUAAAAGAAAUCCGGGCAGGCGAGCUUAAAUAAAUCGUUGUCAAAAUGAAAUAAAUGAGCUUAGGCGAGCUGAGAUGAAUCGUAAUCAAAAUGAAAGAAAUCAGGCUAGGCGAGAACUCAAUAGAUUUUGACUAUUUUCAACAAUGCUCUAUUUUCAACAAUGCUCUAUUAAUCAAAUGACGUGUUUGUUCAAUAUAGACAUACAGUUAAGAACUAUUAAAAAUUGUUAUGUUUUGUUAAUUUGGCAAUAAAUGUGUAAAUAAAAUAAUCUAUAAUAAAAAAUGAAUUUUUCUAAAAGCAACGUUUUUUAAGCCAACUAAAAAGUAGAAAAUAAUUUUUAUUUGAGCUUGUCAGAAUGUCUGAUUAUAAUUUAUCUUAUAAUGAUGACAGAUUUUAUAACAAAUUUGAUACACGUAAAACAAAAAACGUUUUAUAAGAUAAAGGAUUGGUGCAUGUUAUAAGAUAAAAGAUUGGUGCAUGUUAUAAGAUAAAGGAUUGGUGCAUGUUAUAAGAUAAAAGAUUGGUGCAUGUUAUAAGAUAAAAGAUUAGUGCAUGUUAUAAGAUAAAGGAUUGGUGCAUGUUAUAAGAUAAAAGAUUGGUGCAUUAUAAGAUAAAAGGUUGGUGCAUGUUAUAAGAUAAAGGAUUGGUGCAUGUUAUAAGAUAAAGGAUUGGUGCAUGUUAUAAGAUAAAAGAUUAGUGAUCGACUAACACUUAACGGUUUACGUUAAUCAUACAUCAGUGCAAUAUUUACACUGAUCAUUAAAAUGGCCAACUAUAUUUAAAUUAUAAUAGAUACACUUAAAUAAAUCUACACAAACAAAGCAUUAAAUCAAAUUUUAUACUGCAUAAUGUCAUAAUAUUAUCAAAUCACAACUUGUGCCCAACGUUUUUUGUUUUACGUGUAUCAAAUUUGUUAUAAAAUCUGUCAUCAAGAGGAAUAUAAUCAGACAUUUUGGCAAAAAAGUUGUUUCUAGAAAAAUUCAUUUUUUAUUGCAGAUUAUUUUUUACUUUUUAGAUUUGCUUGGUUAGAAUAUUUGAAACGAUUUAAAAUAUGGAAUAUUUCACUUAUCCUUAACACUUUUUUUUACUAA
Molecule: non-coding RNA, 1796 nt
Organism: Hydra vulgaris (swiftwater hydra)
Lineage: Eukaryota; Metazoa; Cnidaria; Hydrozoa; Anthoathecata; Hydridae
Source: RefSeq, a predicted model, not a curated record